Molecule: ribosomal RNA, 274 nt
Filed under: uncultured bacterium
Lineage: Bacteria
Description: partial 16S ribosomal RNA
Rfam family: Bacterial small subunit ribosomal RNA
Source: RNAcentral
AUACGGGGGGAGCAAGCGUUGUCCGGAAUCAUUGGGCGUAAGGGGCACGUAGGCGGUUUCUUAAGUCGAAUGUGAAAUCUCACGGCUCAACCGUGAAACUGCGUUCGAAACUAAGUGACUUGAGUUUGGGAGAGGUGUACGGAAUUCCUGGUGUAGCGGUGGAAUGCGUAGAUAUCAGGAAGAACACCAAUGGCGAAGGCAGUACACUGGCCUGAAACUGACGCUGAGGUGCGAAAGCGUGGGGAGCAAACAGGAUUAGAAACCCCAGUAGUCC